UGAGGGAAAGGCGAAAAGAACCCCGGCGAGGGGAGUGAAAAAGAACCUGAAACCGUGUACGUACAAGCAGUGGGAGCCCCACCACCAAAGCAUUCUCUGGUGUUGAAGGCCCUGCAAAGCAGCAUCGCGGUGGCGGAGCGUCGUUUGCGACGCCCAACACACAAAACAAGCGGUGAAUGCUUUGGGGUGGGGUGACUGCGUACCUUUUGUAUAAUGGGUCAGCGACUUAUAUUCUGUAGCAAGGUUAACCGAAUAGGGGAGCCGGAGGGAAACCGAGUCUUAAUUGGGCGUUAAGUUGCAGGGUAUAGACCCGAAACCCGGUGAUCUAGCCAUGGGCAGGUUGAAGGUUGGGUAACACUAACUGGAGGACCGAACCGACUAAUGUUGAAAAAUUAGCGGAUGACCUGUGGCUGGGGGUGAAAGGCCAAUCAAACCGGGAGAUAGCUGGUUCUCCCCGAAAGCUAUUUAGGUAGCGCCUCGUGAAUUCAUCUCCGGGGGUAGAGCACUGUUUCGGCUAGGGGGCCAUCCCGGCUUACCAACCCGAUGCAAACUGCGAAUACCGGAGAAUGUUAUCACGGGAGACACACGGCGGGUGCUAACGUCCGUCGUGAAGAGGGAAACAACCCAGACCGCCAGCUAAGGUCCCAAAGUCAUGGUUAAGUGGGAAACGAUGUGGGAAGGCCCAGACAGCCAGGAUGUUGGCUUAGAAGCAGCCAUCAUUUAAAGAAAGCGUAAUAGCUCACUGGUCGAGUCGGCCUGCGCGGAAGAUGUAACGGGGCUAAACCAUGCACCGAAGCUGCGGCAGCGACGCUGAUGCGUUGUUGGGUAGGGGAGCGUUCUGUAAGCCUGUGAAGGUGUGUCGUGAGGCAUGCUGGAGGUAUCAGAAGUGCGAAUGCUGACAUAAGUAACGAUAAAGCGGGUGAAAAGCCCGCUCGCCGGAAGACCA
RNAcentral lists this ribosomal RNA (946 nucleotides) under Salmonella enterica subsp. enterica serovar Typhimurium. RNAcentral's name for it is "partial 23S ribosomal RNA". It matches the Rfam family "Bacterial large subunit ribosomal RNA", at positions 504 to 1347 of the family's 2925-position model. The record is from RNAcentral. Lineage: Bacteria; Pseudomonadati; Pseudomonadota; Gammaproteobacteria; Enterobacterales; Enterobacteriaceae.